CGCGGGGCCAUCGCGGCGCUCCGCGAAGUUCCGCGGGGCCCGGGGAAGUUUGGGCUCGGCUCGGCCCCGGCCAUGGCCUUCCGCCGGCGGGCCAAGAGCCACCCGCUCUUCAGCCAGGAGUUCCUCAUCCACAAUCACGCCGACAUCGGCUUCUGCCUGGUGCUCAGCGUCCUCAUCGCCCUCAUGUUCGAGGUCACAGCCAAGACUGCCUUCCUGUUCAUCUUACCUCAGUAUAAUGUUAGUGUGCCUACAGCAGAUGGGGAGCUGGUCCAGUAUCACUAUGGGCUGAAGGAUCUGGUCACCAUCCUCUUCUACAUCUUCAUCGCCAUCAUCCUGCAUGCAGUGGUGCAGGAAUACGCCCUGGAUAAAAUCAACAGGCGUCUGCAUCUCUCCAAGGUCAAACACAGCAAGUUCAAUGAGUCAGGGCAGCUGGUUGCCUUCCACCUAACCUCUGUCAUCUGGUGCUUGUACGUCGUGGUGACGGAAGGAUACAUUUCAAACCCCCGGAGUCUGUGGGAAAACUACCCGCAUGUUUAUCUGCCGUACCAGGUGAAGUUUUUCUACCUGUGCCAGUUGGCAUACUGGCUGCACGCCCUGCCUGAGCUCUACUUCCAAAAAGUCCGCAAGGAGGAGAUCCCCCGGCAGCUGCGCUGCAUCUCACUCUACCUGCUGCACAUCGCCGGUGCCUACCUGCUCAACUUAACCCGCUUGGGGCUGAUCCUCUUGCUGUUGCAGUACUUGGCCGAGUUCUUCUUCCACAUGGCGCGGCUGGUUUACUUCACGGACGAGAACAACGAGAAGCUGUUUAACGUCUGGGCCGUCGUGUUUGUGGUCACCAGGCUCUUCACCCUCACCUUGUACAUCCUGGUCAUCGGCUUCGGGCUGCCACGUGUGGAGAGCCAGGCCCUGGACCCUGAGAGAGGAAACUUCUUCAGCUUCCUCUUCAACAACAUUCUCUUCAGAAUGAGUGUGCUGCUGUUGGUGUGCCUCUUCCAGGCCUCGGUGAUGUGGCGCUUCAUCCACUUCCAGCUGCGGCGCUGGAGGGAGUACUGGAACGAGCAGAGCAGUCGGAAGCGAGCCGCCGCCCCUGCUGGCACCAAGCAGCAAACCAAGCUGCUCAAGAGGGACUCGGGUUACCAUGAGAACGGAGUGGUGAAAGCAGAGAACGGAACCUCACCUCGCACCAAGAAGCUCAAGUCUCCAUAGAAGCCAAGGGUUGUCUCCUGGGGAGGAGGGCGAGAUACCAGGAUUGAGCAGCCCCUCCUCCUGCUCCUCACGAGUGGCAUCUUGAAAGGCUCGGAAUCAUCUUCCCAAGCAUGUUCCUCCCCUCUCUUCAUGGUGCUUCCCUGAGCCCCUGGGACAGGGCCACGACAGCUUGAAGGCACCAAAUGUGUGUUAUGGGAUCAGAUUCCUGGGGGAAUGUGCUGGGGCUGUGAGAUCUGAGGCUCAGGGGUGCUCUCAGGUGAGAUGGGGCACAUCUGGCCAGCGCUCAGCAGGAUGGUGGUGCUGCAAAGAGACCAGGGUCUGAUGGAGGAAGCUCAACCCUGUCUUGUCUCCUGGUGGACCUCCAGUUAACUGGGGUUUUCUGAACCCUGCUUUUGAGAAUUUUGGAGAGCUGGGCAGCAGAGAAUGGAGAGAACUUUCCUCUUCAUAUGGAAGGUCCACCUCACAGCCUUUGCUCGCCCCAGCUGGGUUUCUCUUGGUUGUCCAUAGUUAUUCUGGGCCUCCCAGCCCCAAGAGCUGGGCCCAGGGCUCUGCAGCUCUCAGUGUUUUGUUAUGGGGCAGCAGCAUCCUCAGUUCCACGUGAAUCCUUGAGGCCUGCCCCGCUCUGAGCGCUGGCCUGGCUCCUGUCAGCCCAGGCCCUUUGCCAGCUUGUCUGUGCCUCAUGGAUCUGGUGUUCUUGUUGCUUGUGACCACAUCCAGGUGACAAACUGAUUGCUGCAAAGGGUUUUUGCAUCAGUGGGACUGUGCCCCUCAUGCUGUCACCUCAGCCUUCCUCAUCCCUACCACACCAGUCCAGCCGUGCCAUCGGCAGCCAUCAGCUUCACUCUUUGUUUCCAAAGGAUACAGCGCUUGUAUCCACCCAAGGUGCUAUCAAAUCCAGGGUUUCUUCCAAAAAUCCUAGCCCCUCCAUCCCUUUCUGAGCUGUGAAUGAGAUGACAGGGAGGGAAGGGGAAGGAGGCCGGGGCUGCAAGGAGCAGCUUGAAUUUUAGGAAAAGCCUGGCUUGUGACAUGUAGCUGUUGGCAGAUGGAAUUGUCUCAAAUCUACCUCAGAGGCCAUCUGUUGCUGCAGACCACUUCCCCCUCUUGCUCCUGCCCGCUGCCACCUCCACGUGCUGGCAGGAAAGCCACAUCCCACCGGAUUGAUCUCUCGCUGACUCUGCUGGGGAGCAGCACCUGCGUGGGGUUUCUUGGGUCAGUGCCAUCUCACUGGGCUUCUUUUUGGGGUGCUGUGCCAGGCUGGGUUGGGCAGGUGAGCAGUAGUAGCACCUCUGUCCCCACACUGUCCUCUGGGGCAGUUCCUGAGCUGAGCUUUGCUGUUGGUGCCUCUUGUGCAGCGAAGUCGGCCGUAGCUUUAGUUCUGCUUUGCCACGGCAGGAGCAGGGGACUCGUGGUGUGUCCCCUUGGCUGGGUGAGGAGAAGGACACAGAGCUGGGGUGCUCUCCUUGUGCAGUCCAGGACUGAUCCUUGUCCUGCCCCUGGCUCAGCCCAUGGGGGCAGCUGAACUCCAGCUCUCUCCAAGUGCAAUUCCAGCUUGAGGCUGUGCUGUUGUCCUUCGCACCAGUCGUGUUUUGAGGAACAGGUGACGGUUGAUUUUCUGCCCCUCUUUGAGUUGAGUUGGGUUUUUUCCCUUUUAUUUGGGUGUCUUUUGUCCUUUCCUCCCCUCUCCUUGUUGAGGAGGCACUGGAGGGAGAAAACAUGCAGGGCCAUGAGGACAGUUAGUCAAAUUCCUCUUGUUCCUCAAUCCCCACAACAUUUGAGAGAUACUGGCAGAAGAGGGCUUUCCCUGUUUUCAGGGGAGCUGGGGAAGGAGGCUGGAGCAGAGCCCUUGGUGGUACCUUGCCAUCGCUCCUUGUAGCCUGUGCUGAGAGAACAAGACACCUUUUAGCUCAGAGGCAGCGACAGGACCCACAGUGCAGUGUGAUCAGGGGGAGAAGAGCUUUAUGUUGGGGAGGAGGUGGAAAAGGUGUAGUGUGAAAGGUUUUUCCUUUCUCCUGUCUCUUCCCAUCCUUUGCCAUCUGCUGCCAGUGCCCUCCAGGAGAGACUGCUGGCUGACACCUCCCCAGAGCCUCGGGCCUUUCCGCAGCGCCGGUGCCUCGCAGCAGCCGAGCUGCUGACUCUGUUAGCAGGUGACACAUAGAGCCUCCCAAAAACACAGCUGCUGAAUGAUUCCUCCUCCUGCCUGCUUGGCUUCAGGCAGCUUUUCCACUUGCACAAUCCUGUCUCUUCACACAGUAGCUGGUGAUGCUUUGUAUCCCAAGUGCCUUAUGUUGUAGCGUCUCUGCGAACUGUGGCAGUAGCUGAACACCCUCCUCUGUUACUACUUCUCUACAACAUACGCUACAUUUAUGUGUUUUUUGUUUUCUUUUUGAUAGAGCUAUCAGGAAAAGGGACAUUUGUUUUUGAAGCAUUUCUUUUUAUGAUUUUGGUUUAUUAAACCUGUAAGAUGAUGAGGCUGUUCAUUUUUUUUUUUCCUUUUUUGCCCUCCCCUAUAUUUAGUCCUCAGAAAUCUCCAUCUUUGUGUUAUACCCAAACCUGUCAGGUUGGUUAUUUUUGAGCUGAACCUUUGUUGUGAGGUGAUAUCCACUGUCAUCAUGGAGGUUUGCAAUCCCCUCUCCAUCAGAGGGUCUGCCAUGGGCUGCUCCUAAUUCUGUGUUGUUGUGCAAGCACAAUCCCUGGGCUGCAAGCCCGCAGUAACUGCUCCUGUGUCCGUGUCAUUUCUCAGCAGAUCCAGCCUUCCUUUCAGCCCAAAGAACUUUUUCUUGGAGCAUUUUCAUUGCAAGCCCUUAGUGGUCAGUCUGUCCUUGGCUGCUCUGUCUAUGAAAUGCCACAAGCUCGCUUCCCUUUAGUGGGUGCUCUUCUUAUGCCCCAUCUUGUCAAGCCUUGUGUCAUCUGCAGAAAACACCAUGGAAUUGUUGGGUGAGGUUGGAAAAUGCCUCCAAACUCAUCAAAAUCAAAAACCUUUUAAUCUAACACCAAGAUCCAGCCCUGAACAGGAGCUAUUGUCCACCACAAUGCUGAAGGUGAUGGAGAUUAUCCAAAACUUCCAGUGGGACAUGAUUCCUUGCACCUCUCCUGUGGGUUUGAGGCUGCUUUAGUAGUCUGUGUCCAUUAUCCAACCUGAGGAGGUCAGGAAUUGAGUAGCCUGUGGUUUUUGGGGUGAAGUGUAGUGUUUUCCUGUCCUAGCCUAGAAGAGCUGUGAAAUACCAGCACUAGUUCUCUCUUCUUGUCUUAGGUAGUUGGAGAAUGGGCUUGGGAAGAGAAAGGGGUAGAGGAAGAACACAUGUAGCAUUUCACACACAGUUUUUGAGUGACUCUAACAUUAUGGGGCAUUACAGUCACAUUUUGUCUUGUUGUUGUUGUUUAUGAUUCUUCUUACUUGUCAUGUUUGGAUUAGUAGUAGCCAAGUUCCAGUUCCCCUGUAGGUCCCCUUACCUUCAAUUCAGUGUUUUAAAAGGUUUUUUUGGUAGCCUUCCUGGUUGGCAGGAAGAGUGGCCACUCUGGGAUGUCUUUUCCUUGCCUCCAAGUGACUCUGGGAGCUUGGAGCCACCCUGCCUUUGCAGCAGUGCCUGGGGGUUUACAGCAGCCUCAGGCUCUUGCCUUUGGUAGAUGGACCCCAGAUUGUGCCAACAGUGGAUGGAGAUGAUGGGGUUUGAUUUACAGCCUUCCAGGAAACUUCAUGGGGGAUGAAAGGUUGGUUUAGUAGGUUUUAUGCCCAGCAGUGAAGUAUGUUCCUCCUCCUUGGAGCUGUGUGUGAGGUUUUUCUAGGAAGAAUGGCUGUUGGAAAAGCCAGGCAGAGGUGUGUGGUUUUUCCUCAAAAAUGUUGAACUCAACUUAUCAAACUUCAGUAAAGGAACUUGAGGAAAAUUCUUGUUCUUCCAUAUUUAUGCUUUAGUGCAAAUUUCCUGAUUUUGGAGGGGGUGGGGGGAAUUAACAGUCUCUGCUAUUUUAUCCCGUUUGUUUCAUUCUUCCUCUCACUUCAGUUUUUUGUACGGAUUUUGUUUGUUGAUGUUCAUUGUUCAAUGACUUUUGUGAUAAACUUGGCAGAAGUAUUUUUCUGAAAUAAAUAAAUAAAAGGCAUAGAUUCUUCCA
Pseudopodoces humilis (Tibetan ground-tit) is the source of this 5313-nucleotide non-coding RNA. The record is from RefSeq and is a predicted model, not a curated record. Lineage: Eukaryota; Metazoa; Chordata; Aves; Passeriformes; Paridae.